Long non-coding RNA from Centruroides sculpturatus (bark scorpion), 205 nucleotides. RefSeq lists it as uncharacterized. Lineage: Eukaryota; Metazoa; Arthropoda; Arachnida; Scorpiones; Buthidae. The transcript is spliced from 4 exons. The record is from RefSeq and is a predicted model, not a curated record.
AUUAGAACUCGAACAUUUUUCUCUGUGGACUUUAACUCAAUGUUUCUCUCUACUACCGUCAAACGUACACCUCUGGGUGUUUAUUUUCGUGUUUAACGUGGUUCUCGGUCAAAGACGCUCGAAUAGCAGUUAUGUUUGGAAAAUUGCUCUAAACUUGCCAGAUGUAGAAAGAAAUAACUCCAAAAAAGAUAUCGUUGAAUCGGAC